Non-coding RNA from Elaeis guineensis (African oil palm), 4052 nucleotides. The record is from RefSeq and is a predicted model, not a curated record. NCBI's taxonomy places the organism in Eukaryota, Viridiplantae, Streptophyta, Magnoliopsida, Arecales, Arecaceae.
CUAUUCAUUUUCGCAUCGCCCUCCUUCCUCUCGACGCCUAGGCGGUUCCUCCGGCUCUCUUUGUUUUUUCAAGAAGACAGACUCAUUCAGAGGGAGCGAGCGUGUGAGAGAGAGAUUGGGUUUUGGAGAAAAGAGAAAAAAUGACAGAUGAGACGGUAAGAUUCGGGGUUCUGGGCAGUAUGUUCGAGGCGAUGGUGAGGGAUCGGUCGGCGGCGAAGAAACGGAAGCGGUUCAGGACGCUGCUGGAUCGGGUGUACACGGGGCGGGACUACUUUAGCGCCGUUCGGCUCAUCCUCCCGGGCCUCGACCGGGAGCGCGGCUCGUACGGGCUCAAGGAGUCCGCCCUCGCUGCCGCCCUUGUCGACGCCCUCGGACUGGCCAAGGACUCUCCCGACGCCCUCCGCCUUAUCAACUGGCGCAAGGGCGGCGCCCGUUCGGGUGCCAACGCCGGCAACUUCGCCCUUGUCGCCGCCGAGGUUCUACAGCGUAGGCAAGGAAUGGCUUCUGGUGGGCUUACAAUCAAGGAGUUGAAUGAUGCUCUUGAUCAAAUAGCCUCAAAAGAAAAUAGGGCAGAGAAGACUGCUGUUCUUGCUAGUCUCAUUAAGAAAACAAAUGCCCAGGAAAUGAAGUGGAUUCUAAUGAUCAUUCUUAAAGAUCUGAAGCUGGGGAUUAGUGAGAAGAGUAUAUUUCAUGAGUUUCACCCAGAUGCUGAAGAUUUGUUCAAUGUCACUUGUGACCUAAAAUUAGUCUGUGAAAAGCUGAAAGAUCGAAGUCAACGUCAUAAACGGCAGGAUAUAGAAGUGGGAAAAGCUGUAAGGCCUCAGCUAGCUAUGAGGGUCGGUGAUGCUGCAACUGCAUGGAGGAAGCUUCAUGGAAAGCAUGUGGUUGUCGAGUGCAAGUUUGAUGGUGAUCGCAUUCAAAUCCACAAGAACGGAGAAGAGAUUCACUUUUUUUCACGGAAUUUUCUCGAUCAUCCCGAAUACGAACAUGGCAUGUCGAACAUUAUUUUACAGAACAUCACUGUUGAGAGGUGUAUUCUGGAUGGUGAAAUGCUCGUUUGGGACACCUCAACUCAACGUUUUGCAGAAUUUGGUUCAAAUCAGGAAAUAGCAAAGGCAGCUAGAGAAGGAUUAGAGAGUGACCGCCAGCUAUGCUAUGUUGCAUUUGAUAUUCUUUAUGUCGGAGACACUAGUGUUAUUCAUCAGAGCUUGACAGAAAGACUUGACCUUCUGCGAAAAGUUGUAAAACCUUUGAAGGGUCGCUUAGAAAUUCUGACCCCUAAUGGGGGUCUUAAUGAUCGUCGUUUGCAAGGCGAGCCAUGUUGGUCCCUUGUUGCUUACACUGUGGAAGAUGUGGAGAGAUUUUUCAAAGAAACUAUUGAAAAUAGAGAUGAGGGGAUUGUGUUGAAGGACCUUGGUUCCAAAUGGGAACCUGGUGAUCGAAGUGGAAAGUGGUUGAAGUUGAAACCUGAUUACAUACAUGCUGGUGCUGAUCUGGAUGUGCUUGUCAUAGGAGGAUAUUUUGGUUCUGGCCGUCAUGGAGGAGAGGUAGCUCAGUUUUUGGUGGGUCUUGCGACGCGUUCAGAUUCUACCAGCUAUCCAAACCGAUUUGUUUCAUUCUGUCGAGUUGGUACUGGUCUCUCUGACGAGGAGCUUGAUGCUCUCAUUACGAAAUUGAAGCCUUAUUUCAGGAAGAAUGAAUAUCCAAAAAAAGUGCCACCCUUUUAUGAAGUCACAAAUAAUUCAAAGGAGAGGCCAGAUGUUUGGAUUGACAGCCCUGACAAAUCGGUCAUACUUUCUAUAACUAGCGAUAUCCGAACUAUAAAGUCUGAGGUAUUUGCCGCACCAUACAGUUUGAGAUUUCCACGCAUUCAUCGUGUGAGAUAUGACAAGCCAUGGCAUGAGUGCCUUGAUGUGCAGUCAUUCGUAGACUUGGUACAUUCAAGCAAUGGGAAUACACAGAGGGGAACAGAUCAUGGAGGUCUGCAAAAUCAUGGAUCAAAACGUGUGAAGUCCACCAAGAAGGGAGAGAAGAAAAAUUUAUCCAUUGUCCCUGCUCAUUUGAUCCAUACUGACAUCUCUGGUGUUAAGGAGGAGACCCUCAUAUUUGCAAAUAUGAUGUUCUAUUUUAUCAAUGUUCCUCCAUCCUAUUCUGUAGACUACUUUCACAAAAUUGUGGUUGAGAAUGGGGGAACUUUCUCAAUGAAUCUCAAUGACUCAGUUACUCACUGCAUUGCAGCUGAAAGAAAAGGGAUCAAGUAUCAAGCUGCUAUGCAUCAUGGAGAUAUCAUUCACUAUUCUUGGGUCUUGGAUUGUUGCAAACAAAAGCAUCUUCUACAUUUGCAACCGAAGUACUACCUAUUUCUUGCAGAUUCUUCAAAGAGCAAGUUUCGGGAGGAGAUUGACACGUUCUCUGAUUAUUAUUACUGGGAUAUAGAUAUUGCAGACAUUAAACAGAUAUUCAGCAAUAUGCAUGGACCAGAAUAUACGAACAACAUAGAUUAUUAUAAGAAGAAGUACUGUCCAGUGGAAACAUUGUGCUUGUUUCAGGGUUGUUGUGUUUACUUCUACAAAUCAAUGUCUGUUAUAAAUACAUGCGGUGAAGUAAUAUUAGAGCUUGCUUUAAGGAGGAUGAGGCUUGAAAUAACCAUGCAUGGUGGUGAAGUUUGCAGCAGUCUUCAACAUGCCACUCAUUUGAUUGUGUAUUCAACAACAAAAGAAGCCAACAACUUUGAUGAAAUAUAUAAAAGUUUUCCAUCUUCUCAAAGACACCUACUACAUGACAGUAGGCUACAUGUUGUGAUGCAUCAAUGGUUGGAAGAUUCAUUAGAAAGAGGCAAGAAGUUGCACGAAGAUUCUUAUAACUUGAAGCCUGAUACCUUUGAAGAAAUUAAGAUUGAUGAGAGGCACAAUCUCAUAUCUCCUGUAACUACAAGCAAUGCAGAAAAACAGUGUGUCUCUAGACUAAAUAUAGGUGAAAAGAAGAAAAGAGAUAGGCCCAUGCAUGCUGAUGCAAGAAAGGGUAGAACGGGUCCAAAACUCACACGAAGAACACGGGCAAGGAUUGGAAACAGACCUGCAAAAAUAGAUGCAGAUGAAGCAGAGAACAGUGAUUGCUCAGAUGAAACUUCUAUGGGUAAAAUCCUGAAGUCAAGAAAAGAGUCUAACAUUGACAUCACAGAAAGUGCAGGGAUCAAAGAUCAAGAAUCAUUUUCAGAUGAAAGUAGUCAAAGAGGAGCCUUAGGAUCAAGGAAAGAGUCUAAAGGUGACAUGGAGGAAAGUGAGGAUAUCAAAUAUCAAGCACCGCAUUUUAGUAUUCAAGCAGCUGAGUGUCAUGCAGGGUCUCAGAAUGUACAUUUAACUGAUUGUGAUAAAAAGUCAGAAGCACCAGAAGAUAUAACCAAUGAAAGGUUUGACAAUGUGCAAACAGUGCAUGUCACAGAAACAGGAACUAAAGGAACUGGUGAAAAAAUUGAACAAAUUGUUGACCCACUGCAUGCUAUGUUAUUAGAUAUGAUACCAAGUCUUAGCCAGAACAAUGCGGAAACUGGAAGCUCCAUUCCUGAAGGCAAGGAAACACAGCCAGAUCUCCACACCAACCCAGUGAAGAAGAAAGUUAGCUACAAAGAUGUUGCAGGUCAACUCCUCAAAGAUUGGUAAUAGCUUUAAAAAUCAAGUGAUUUGGUUUGUGUGCGUACACGGGGUAUGACAGCAAAAGAUGUAAAAGUCUGCAAUACAAGCGGUAGUGCUUUUUUGUAUAUAUUAUUACAGUCAAGUCAGAAUAGUGUUACCCCAUGAACAACCAUCAUCCUUGGCAUGCACUUGUGGUGGAACAACUUUUGUUUAGGGUCCAGAUUGACCUGUGGCCAAAUUUCAGUCUGGUUUUAUGUGGUUAUGUCAAAUGUGUUGAUAUGCCCUUUCAAAUGGGAGCUGGUUAGGACAACUUGCGACAGUCAGCACAAGUGAGUAUUUCUUGAAACCCGAUAUGACGUUGUUUUAAGUCUAUACCAUGGAUUUGAUCCUUAUAAAAAGGAGAGGUUUUGAAUGGAUCUA